GUGAAUCAUCAAAUUUUUGAACGCAAAUUGCGCUUCCUGGCAUCCCGGGAAGUAUGCCUGUUUGAGGGUCAGUAUUAACAAAAAAUCGGUUUGGUUGCAAAUUGUGACGUUUCCGGAGUUUGGGCUUUUUUUACUUUUUUGGGUUAGGGGCUUUAAAUUGAACUUUUUUUCGCAUUUUUUGACGGAAAUAAAUUUUUUUUUUAUUCGUCUAUUCUUAAUGCCAAAAUCUUAUUAGAUGCGAUCACAUCGUGUGGUUUCGUGUCCAUAAAAUUUUCAUGAUUUGACCUCAAUUCAGGUAGGA
This 301-nucleotide unclassified non-coding RNA is filed under the name Glomeraceae sp. RNAcentral's name for it is "partial contains 5.8S ribosomal RNA and internal transcribed spacer 2". The stretch from base 1 to 71 matches the Rfam family "5.8S ribosomal RNA", at positions 84 to 154 of the family's 154-position model. Lineage: Eukaryota; Fungi; Glomeromycota; Glomeromycetes; Glomerales; Glomeraceae. The record is from RNAcentral.